GCAGAUUUUUAAAAUUAUAUUAGGUGGCAAUCUAAUUCAUUUACUCUUAUUCACUUCUUUAAACACACAGAUAAGGACAGUUGAUCUUACCACAUCCUGAUUAUCUAGGAACAAUGGAGGAGAGCUAAAUGACUUCUUCCAGAGGACAGCCUAAGCAUGAGGAUGUUACCAUGCCGAUGUAUGAACAACUGUGUCCUGUAAGAUUUAUUUUG
This 212-nucleotide long non-coding RNA is filed under the name Gopherus agassizii (Agassiz's desert tortoise). RNAcentral's name for it is "lncRNA (ENSGAGG00000006306.1)". The record is from RNAcentral. Lineage: Eukaryota; Metazoa; Chordata; Testudines; Testudinidae.